Long non-coding RNA from Phyllostomus hastatus (greater spear-nosed bat), 355 nucleotides. RefSeq lists it as uncharacterized. The record is from RefSeq and is a predicted model, not a curated record. The transcript has 3 exons. Lineage: Eukaryota; Metazoa; Chordata; Mammalia; Chiroptera; Phyllostomidae.
ACGCACCUGUUUCGCGUCACACCUGGCGGAGGCGACUGCAGGUGCUCCCCGGCACGUGCAUUCGGCUCGCACGAGUGGAGCUCCUUGGGGGAUUGGUCGCGGCAAAGUGACGUGACCUCCCGGGAGAAGACAAAGGCUCGAUUAAGAAUCUGCCUCUGGAGUAUCUAGUCUCGUCCCAGACGGAGCCAGCUGCCGCAGCGAGAAAGUGAUUUGCAGCCCUGAAGUGACUGUUCCAGUCACAGAGAGACGUGGCUGGGCAGCUUCAACUACGUGUAAAGGAUCACUGAAAAAACUCACGUUUCCGACACGCUGUCUCCUCCUUCUUCAGCAACUUCCUCCUCUUCUUCCUCGGAAC